GGCACUGCCGGGCAGCCACGCUGCUGCGGAUAAGAGCUGAAAGCAUCUAAGCUCGAAGCCGCUCCCGAGAAGAGGCGGCCAUUCCUUG
RNAcentral lists this ribosomal RNA (88 nucleotides) under Candidatus Bathyarchaeota archaeon. RNAcentral's name for it is "partial 23S ribosomal RNA". The stretch from base 1 to 79 matches the Rfam family "Archaeal large subunit ribosomal RNA", at positions 2802 to 2880 of the family's 2987-position model. The record is from RNAcentral. Lineage: Archaea; Thermoproteati; Candidatus Bathyarchaeota.